Molecule: non-coding RNA, 1702 nt
Organism: Arachis ipaensis
Lineage: Eukaryota; Viridiplantae; Streptophyta; Magnoliopsida; Fabales; Fabaceae
Source: RefSeq, a predicted model, not a curated record
AUUUCCCCCACAACCCAGCAUCUGCAGCCUCUCCUUCCCAAAUCAACGCGCACAGCUUCCCUCACCCAGCAGCAAGCAAUGCACUUUUCCCCCUUUUUUCCAACAGAACGCAACACACACACAAGACUGUGAAAGAAAGAUGAAACCGAAGGGGGAGUGGGGUGAGGAAUCCACGGAGAAGAAAGAAGAGCCCUUGAUCUCAGAGUGUUGAACGGAAGGGAGCGAAGGGAACCUCACCGCCGUGCUCAACCCACUGCGUGCCCUGCCGCGCAUCGUCGCCGUUCCGUGUAGUCUGCCUUGGUGCCGAUCAAACAGGGGUGAGGGAGAGGUGUCGAGAGUGAGACGUGAUGGAGGUGAGAGGGUAGAGCUGCCAUCACCACCGUCCUGUCUGUGGGGCUUGAGCUCGCGUCGCCGCAUUGAUCUUCGGUGCCACCGCAGAGGAGACUGGAGCAGUCACCACCACAGGAGGAGUGUCGCGCGUCACCGUGAGCUGCGAGCCACUGACCGAGAAGAAGCUCCAUCUUCGUUACCGUGCUGGAGUCGUCGCCGCCAGCGCCGUGCACCGCCGUCACCGCUGUCGUCGACGGGAGCUUGCUGUCACAGUUCUAUCACCACCGAGCCUGAAGGGGAGCACCAUUGAUAUCACCCGACAGCAGCUCUCCUGCGUUCCCAAACUCCAUUCUUGGAACAUCGUUGCUGGUUUAUCAUUCGAAAAAGGCAUAAUUGAGGCUGAGGUCGUUGUUAUUCUUGCUCCGAGAGAACUGAUGCCACAAUUGCUGCCGGGUCAAUCUGGAGUUUCGGUUGUUUCGUUUUGUCAUUACAGAUUUAGUUAUCGGGGCCACAUGUUGCGGGUAGAGUCGUUGUGGUUGCUGAGAAAGCGGUUUGGAGCUGAGCUUGCGGCUGCCGCAGUUGCGGGCCGAGCGAAAGUGAGUUGUGAUGCGUUUUAGGGCUUUCGAGUUUCGACGUGUUGAGGUGAUGCAGGAGGAACUGAUCCCAGAGGAGGUAACUAGCUAUAGCUUUACCAGGACUGUUUGGAAGGGGCUGGUUCCGCCUAGAGUGGAGCUAUUUGUCUGGUUUGUUCUGAUAGGAAGAGUGAAUACAAAGGACAGAUUGAGCCGGUUUGAAAUUAUCAGUGAGGACAACGUUACUUGUGUUCUUUGUAACAACGAGGUGGAAGAUGUACACCAUUUGUUUCUAGGAUGUGUGUUUGCUUGGCAGAUGUGGAGUGCUUGAAUCUGUGUUUGCUUGGCAGGUGUGGAGUGCUUGGAUCUCAGCAUUUGGGCGACGAUGGUCGUUUCCGGGAUCGAUGAAAGAGCACUUUCUUAGUUGGACAGAAGAACCGAGGAGGGUGGAUGAGCGUAACCACCGGUUAAGGUGCUUCUACGCGAUAAUCUGGAACCUAUGGUUGGAAAGGAAUAGGCGAAUCUUUCAGCACACAAGCAAAGGAGUUGAAGAAAUUAUCAACAUGUCUUCGAUUAGUGCUAACGAGUGGAGUGGUGGAGAUCCCUUUAGUUGUUGAUGGCUAUGCCGGAGAUGACAAGGGGAUGGCUUUCGUAAUUGUUUGUAUUUUUGUUAUAUUUGUUGUUUUUACUUUGGACGACUCUGGUUGCUCCACUACUAUUGUGUUGAGCUGUUUGCUUUCAAAAAAAAUGUCAAAAACUAAUAUUUUAUUGUCUCAAAUGUAUCCUAUAAUUAAGUCUAA